This 76-nucleotide transfer RNA is filed under the name Dehalococcoidia bacterium. RNAcentral's name for it is "tRNA-Arg". It matches the Rfam family "tRNA". From Rfam's summary of the family: Transfer RNA (tRNA) molecules are approximately 80 nucleotides in length. Lineage: Bacteria; Bacillati; Chloroflexota; Dehalococcoidia. The record is from RNAcentral.
GGCCCGGUAGCUCAGCGGAUAGAGCGGAGGACUUCUAAUCCUAAGGUCGGGGGUUCGACUCCCCCCCGGGCCGCCA